AACAGGGAUUGCCUCAGUAGCGGCGAGUGAAGCGGCAAAAGCUCAAAUUUGAAAUCUGGCGUCUUUGGCGUCCGAGUUGUAAUUUGAAGAAGGUAUCUUUGGGCCCGGCUCUUGUCUAUGUUUCCUUGGAACAGGACGUCACAGAGGGUGAGAAUCCCGUGCGAUGAGAUGACCCGGGUCUGUGUAAAGUUCCUUCGACGAGUCGAGUUGUUUGGGAAUGCAGCUCUAAGUGGGUGGUAAAUUCCAUCUAAAGCUAAAUAUUGGCGAGAGACCGAUAGCGAACAAGUACAGUGAUGGAAAGAUGAAAAGAACUUUGAAAAGAGAGUGAAAAAGUACGUGAAAUUGUUGAAAGGGAAGGGCUUGAGAUCAGACUUGGUAUUUUGCAUGCUGCUCUCUCGGGGGCGGCCGCUGCGGUUUACCGGGCCAGCAUCGGUUUGGAGCGGCAGGAUAAUGGCGGAGGAAUGUGGCACGGCUUCUGCUGUGUGUUAUAGCCUCUGACGAUACUGCCAGCCUAGACCGAGGACUGCGGUUUUUACCUAGGAUGUUGGCAUAAUGAUCUUAAGUCGC
RNAcentral lists this ribosomal RNA (567 nucleotides) under Candida albicans. Its description in RNAcentral is "eukaryotic LSU rRNA". It matches the Rfam family "Eukaryotic large subunit ribosomal RNA", at positions 67 to 648 of the family's 3401-position model. The record is from RNAcentral. Lineage: Eukaryota; Fungi; Ascomycota; Pichiomycetes; Serinales; Debaryomycetaceae.